Molecule: unclassified non-coding RNA, 309 nt
Filed under: uncultured fungus
Lineage: Eukaryota; Fungi
Description: sequence contains ITS2
Source: RNAcentral
AACGCACCUUGCACCCUUUGGUAUUCCAAAGGGUACACCCGUUUGAGUGUCAUUGUAAUCUCACUACGUUCGACUUUUUGUCGUUUGUAUGUGGACCUGGAUGUUGCUGUUGGUUAUCGAUGGCUCGUCUGAAAUGCCUGAGUGUACCCCGCUUUGCGGCGUAUUCGGUGUGAUAUAUUGUCACCGGAGUUGAUCCUUUUGGGUCGCGUCUGUAGGAGUGUGGCUCUAUGCUUUCCAACCGUCCCUUUAUGGGGACAAUCUUCUUGACAAUUUGACCUCAAAUCGGGUGGGACUACCCGCUGAACUUAA